GGAUGUGAGGGUGAUCUGGCUGCAACAUCUGUCACCCCAUUGAUCGCCAGGGUUGAUUCAGCUGAUGUGGCUGGGUAGGUUUGUGUCCCCUUCCUCCCUUACCGCUCCAUAUGUGUUCCUCCUGACGCUGUGCACUGGGUCAAAGAGGACAGCCUUCUCCAAAUAGAGACGGACCAGUUUUCAGUUGAGGGUAUAGGAGUAGCUGAGCUCCGCUACUAGAUCUUCCAAACAAGCUCUCAAACCCCCAGUCCCCACCUGCAGGAGGAAAGCUUUACAAGUGGUGAAGCAGUGCUGCGGGUGUCUUUCUGUCUCU
This is an unclassified non-coding RNA of Erinaceus europaeus (western European hedgehog), 313 nucleotides long. Its record names the gene 7SK. It matches the Rfam family "7SK RNA". Rfam says of the family: 7SK was discovered as an abundant small nuclear RNA in the mid-70s but a possible function has only recently been suggested. Two independent studies have found that 7SK RNA binds the CDK9/cyclin T complex (known as elongation factor P-TEFb). Lineage: Eukaryota; Metazoa; Chordata; Mammalia; Eulipotyphla; Erinaceidae. The record is from Ensembl.